RNAcentral lists this small nuclear RNA (159 nucleotides) under Rhinopithecus roxellana (golden snub-nosed monkey). RNAcentral describes it as "U1 spliceosomal RNA (ENSRROG00000015462.1)". It matches the Rfam family "U1 spliceosomal RNA". Rfam says of the family: U1 is a small nuclear RNA (snRNA) component of the spliceosome (involved in pre-mRNA splicing). Lineage: Eukaryota; Metazoa; Chordata; Mammalia; Primates; Cercopithecidae. The record is from Rfam by way of RNAcentral.
AUACUUACCUGGCAGGGGAGAUACUAUGAUCACGAAGGUGGUUUUCCCAGGGCGAGGCUUAUCCAUUGCACUCCGGAUGUGCUGACCCCUGCGAUUUCCCCAAAUGUGGGAAACUCGACUGCAUAAUUUGUGGUAGUGGGGGACUGCGUUCGCGCAAGA